CAUGGGCAGAAGAGACCCUAAGAAGCCAAGAGGCAAAAUGUGAUUAUAUGCACUCCCUGUCCAAGCUUGUUGGGAGGGACACGAGAAGAAGCACCCAGAUGCUUCAGGCAACUCCUCAGAGCUUUCAAAGAAGUGCCAGAGAGGCAGAUGACCAUGUCAACUAAACAGAAAAGAAAAUUUGAAGAUGUGGCAAAGGCGGACAAGGCUGGCUAGGAAAGAGAAAUGAAAACUUACAUCCUUCCUAAAGGGAAAACAAAAAAGAAGUUCCAGCAUCCCAAUGCGCCCAAGAGGCCUCCUUUGGCCUCUUCUUGUUCUAUUCCAAGCAUCACCCAAAAAUCAAAGGAGAACAUCCCAGCCUAUCCGUUGUUGAUGUUGCAAAGAAAGUAGGAGAGAUGUGGUUAUAAAACCGCUGUGGAGAAUAAGCAGCCUUAGAAAAAGACACCUGCAAAGCUGGAAGAAAAAUACAAAAGGGAUAUUGCUGCAUACCGAGCUAAAGGAAAGCCUGAUGUAGCAAAAAUAAGGGAGCUGUCAAGGCUGAAAAAGAAAGAAAAAGAAAGAAUAGGAGAAACAUGAGAAAGAGGAAGAGGAUGAGGGGGAAGGAAAGAUGGGGAAGAUGAAGAUGAUGAAUAA
This 630-nucleotide long non-coding RNA is filed under the name Homo sapiens (human). Its description in RNAcentral is "non-protein coding lnc-SEC11A-3:1". The record is from RNAcentral. Lineage: Eukaryota; Metazoa; Chordata; Mammalia; Primates; Hominidae.